This 346-nucleotide unclassified non-coding RNA is filed under the name soil metagenome. RNAcentral describes it as "partial contains 5.8S ribosomal RNA, internal transcribed spacer 2, and large subunit ribosomal RNA". The stretch from base 1 to 119 matches the Rfam family "5.8S ribosomal RNA", at positions 35 to 154 of the family's 154-position model. The record is from RNAcentral.
GAUGAAGAACGUAGCGAAAUGCGAUACGUAAUGUGAAUUGCAAAUUCAGUGAAUCAUCGAGUCUUUGAACGCACAUUGCGCCCCCUGGUAUUCCGGGGGGCAUGCCUGUCCGAGCGUCAUUGCUGCCCUCAAGCACGGCUUGUGUGUUGGGCCCCGUCCUCCGAUCCCGGGGGACGGGCCCGAAAGGCAGCGGCGGCACCGCGUCCGGUCCUCGAGCGUAUGGGGCUUUGUCACCCGCUCUGUAGGCCCGGCCGGCGCUUGCCGAUCAACCCAAAUUUUUUAUCCAGGUUGACCUCGGAUCAGGUAGGGAUACCCGCUGAACUUAAGCAUAUCAAUAAGCGGAAGA